Molecule: ribosomal RNA, 751 nt
Filed under: uncultured archaeon
Lineage: Archaea
Description: bacterial SSU rRNA
Rfam family: Archaeal small subunit ribosomal RNA
Source: RNAcentral
AUAACCUACCUGCGGAGGGGGAUAACCCCGGAAAACUGGGGAUAAUACCCCAUAGAUCAGGGAUGCUGGAAUGCCCCCUGGUUCAAAGGUCCGCCGCCACAGGAUGGGUCUGCGGCCGAUUAGGUUGUUGUUGGGGUAACGGCCCAACAAGCCAUUGAUCGGUACGGGUUGUGGGAGCAAGAGCCCGGAGAUGGAUUCUGAGACGCGAAUCCAGGCCCUACGGGGCGCAGCAGGCGCGAAAACUUUACAAUGCGAGAAAUCGUGAUAAGGGAACCCCGAGUGCCCGUAAAUUCGGGCUGUCCGUCAGUGUAAAUAACUGGCGAAGAAAGGGCCGGGCAAGACCGGUGCCAGCCGCCGCGGUAAUACCGGCGGCUCGAGUGGUGGCCGCUAUUACUGGGCUUAAAGCGUCCGUAGCUGGGUUGUUAAGUCUCCUGGGAAAUCCACCGGCUCAACCGAUGGGCGUUCAGGAGAUACUGGCAACCUAGGGACCGGGAGAGGUGAGAAGUACUCCAGGGGUGAGGAGUGAAAUCCUGUAAUCCUUGGGGGACCACCUGUGGCGAAAGGCUUCUCACCAGAACGGCUCCCACAGUGAAGGGACGAAAGCUGGGGGAGCAAACCGGAUUAGAUACCCGGGUAGUCCCAGCUGUAAACGAUGCGCGUUAGGUGUAUCGGUGACCACGAGUCACCGAGGUGCCGAAGAGAAAUCGUGAUACGUGCCGCCUGGGAAGUACGGUCGCAAGGCUGAAACUUA